This 278-nucleotide ribosomal RNA is filed under the name Cronobacter sakazakii. Its description in RNAcentral is "partial 16S ribosomal RNA". It matches the Rfam family "Bacterial small subunit ribosomal RNA", at positions 1265 to 1533 of the family's 1533-position model. Lineage: Bacteria; Pseudomonadati; Pseudomonadota; Gammaproteobacteria; Enterobacterales; Enterobacteriaceae. The record is from RNAcentral.
AAGCGGACCUCAUAAAGUGCGUCGUAGUCCGGAUUGGAGUCUGCAACUCGACUCCAUGAAGUCGGAAUCGCUAGUAAUCGUGGAUCAGAAUGCCACGGUGAAUACGUUCCCGGGCCUUGUACACACCGCCCGUCACACCAUGGGAGUGGGUUGCAAAAGAAGUAGGUAGCUUAACCUUCGGGAGGGCGCUUACCACUUUGUGAUUCAUGACUGGGGUGAAGUCGUAACAAGGUAACCGUAGGGGAACCUGCGGUUGGAUCACCUCCUUACCUGCAAGA